CGUAGUAUUGACUACGACGAUGCAGUCUC
RNAcentral lists this small RNA (29 nucleotides) under Bombyx mori (domestic silkworm). Its description in RNAcentral is "ovarian small RNA-14539". Lineage: Eukaryota; Metazoa; Arthropoda; Insecta; Lepidoptera; Bombycidae. The record is from RNAcentral.